AGAGUUUGAUCAUGGCUCAGAACGUACGCUGGCGGCACGCCUUAUACAUGCAAGUCGAACGAAGUAGUAAUACUUAGUGGCAGACGGGUGAGUAACAUGUAGGUAUCUUCCCUUUGGUGAGGAAUAACACGAGGAAACUUGUGCUAAUACCUCAUAAGUCUUUACAGAGAAAGCUUUAUGCGCCGAAGGAUGAGCCUGCAUUUGAUUAGUUUGUUGGUGGGGUAAUGGCUCACCAAGACUUUGAUCAAUAGCUGAUCUGAGAGGAUGAUCAGCCACAUUGGGACUGAGACACGGCCCAAACUCCUACGGGAGGCAGCAGUAGGGAAUAUUGCACAAUGGAGGAAACUCUGAUGCAGCGAUGCCGCGUGAGUGAAGAAGGCCUUUGGGUUGUAAAGCUCUUUCGUCGGGGAAGAAAAUGACUGUACCCGAAUAAGAAGGUCCGGCUAACUUCGUGCCAGCAGCCGCGGUAAUACGAAGGGACCUAGCGUAGUUCGGAAUUACUGGGCUUAAAGAGUUCGUAGGUGGUUAAAAAAGUUGGUGGUGAAAUCCCAGAGCUUAACUCUGGAACUGCCAUCAAAACUUUUUAGCUAGAGUAUGAUAGAGGAAAGCAGAAUUUCUAGUGUAGAGGUGAAAUUCGUAGAUAUUAGAAAGAAUACCAAUUGCGAAGGCAGCUUUCUGGAUCAUUACUGACGCUGAGGAACGAAAGCAUGGGUAGCGAAGAGGAUUAGAUACCCUCGUAGUCCAUGCCGUAAACGAUGUGUGUUAGACGUUGGAAAUUUAUUUUCAGUGUCGCAGCGAAAGCAUUAAACACACCGCCUGGGGAGUACGACCGCAAGGUUAAAACUCAAAUGAAUUGACGGGGACCCGCACAAGUAGUGGAGCAUGUGGUUUAAUUCGAAGAUACGCGCAGAACCUUACCAACACUUGACAUGUUCGUCGCGACUUUAAGAGAUUAAAGUUUUCGGUUCGGCCGGACGAAACACAGGUGCUGCAUGGCUGUCGUCAGCUCGUGUCGUGAGAUGUUGGGUUAAGUCCCGCAACGAGCGCAACCCUCACUUUUAGUUGCCAUCAUUAAG
RNAcentral lists this ribosomal RNA (1076 nucleotides) under marine metagenome. Its description in RNAcentral is "bacterial SSU rRNA". It matches the Rfam family "Bacterial small subunit ribosomal RNA", at positions 8 to 1128 of the family's 1533-position model. The record is from RNAcentral.